RNAcentral lists this ribosomal RNA (492 nucleotides) under uncultured bacterium. RNAcentral describes it as "partial 16S ribosomal RNA". It matches the Rfam family "Bacterial small subunit ribosomal RNA", at positions 29 to 507 of the family's 1533-position model. The record is from RNAcentral.
AGUGAACGCUGGCGGUAGGCCUAACACAUGCAAGUCGAACGGCAGCACAGUAAGAGCUUGCUCUUACGGGUGGCGAGUGGCGGACGGGUGAGGAAUACAUCGGAAUCUACUUUUUCGGGGGGGAUAACGUAGGGAAACUUACGCUAAUACAGCAUACGACCUACGGGGGAAAGCAGGGGAUAUUCGGACCUUGCGCGAUUGAAUGAGCCGAUGUCGGAUUAGCUAGUUGGCGGGGUAAAGGCCCACCAAGGCGACGAUCCGUAGCUGGUCUGAGAGGAUGAUCAGCCACACUGGAACUGAGACACGGUCCAGACUCCUACGGGAGGCAGCAGUGGGGAAUAUUGGACAAUGGGCGCAAGCCUGAUCCAGCCAUCCCGCGUGGGUGAAGAAGGCCUUCGGGUUGUAAAGCCCUUUUGUUGGGAAAGAAAAGCAGCAGGUUAAUACCCCGCUGUUCUGACGGUACCCAAAGAAUAAGCACCGGCUAACUUCGUG